ACUCCUACGGGAGGCAGCAGUGGGGAAUAUUGCACAAUGGGCGCAAGCCUGAUGCAGCAACGCCGCGUGAGCGAAGAAGGUCUUCGGAUCGUAAAAGCUCUUUUCUUAGGGAAGAAAACUGACGGUACCUAAGGAAUAAGCACCGGCUAAAUACGUGCCAGCAGCCGCGGUAAUACGUAUGGUGCAAGCGUUAUCCGGAAUCACUGGGCGUAAAGGGUGCGUAGGCGGUUUUGCAAGUCAGAAGUGAAAGGCUACGGCUCAACCGUAGUAAGCUUUUGAAACUGCAAGACUAGAGUGCAGGAGAGGAAAGUGGAAUUCCUAGUGUAGAGGUGAAAUUCGUAGAUAUUAGGAGGAACACCAGUGGCGAAGGCGACUUCUGUACUGUAC
RNAcentral lists this ribosomal RNA (387 nucleotides) under uncultured bacterium. RNAcentral's name for it is "bacterial SSU rRNA". It matches the Rfam family "Bacterial small subunit ribosomal RNA", at positions 335 to 740 of the family's 1533-position model. The record is from RNAcentral.